GAGUGUAUAGCUCAGUGGUACAGUGUGUGCUUAGCAGGCACGAGGUCCUGGGUUCAAUCUCCAGCACCUCCG
RNAcentral lists this transfer RNA (72 nucleotides) under Camelus bactrianus (Bactrian camel). It matches the Rfam family "tRNA". Rfam says of the family: Transfer RNA (tRNA) molecules are approximately 80 nucleotides in length. Their secondary structure includes four short double-helical elements and three loops (D, anti-codon, and T loops). The record is from Rfam by way of RNAcentral. Lineage: Eukaryota; Metazoa; Chordata; Mammalia; Artiodactyla; Camelidae. RNAcentral also lists the same sequence under 2 other names.